RNAcentral lists this transfer RNA (76 nucleotides) under Caudoviricetes sp. RNAcentral's name for it is "tRNA-Trp". It matches the Rfam family "tRNA". Rfam says of the family: Transfer RNA (tRNA) molecules are approximately 80 nucleotides in length. Their secondary structure includes four short double-helical elements and three loops (D, anti-codon, and T loops). Further hydrogen bonds mediate the characteristic L-shaped molecular structure. tRNAs have two regions of fundamental functional importance: the anti-codon, which is responsible for specific mRNA codon recognition, and the 3' end, to which the tRNAs corresponding amino acid is attached (by aminoacyl-tRNA synthetases). tRNAs cope with the degeneracy of the genetic code in two manners: having more than one tRNA (with a specific anti-codon) for a particular amino acid; and 'wobble' base-pairing, i.e. permitting non-standard base-pairing at the 3rd anti-codon position. The record is from RNAcentral. Lineage: Duplodnaviria; Heunggongvirae; Uroviricota; Caudoviricetes.
GCGGCUCUAGUUUAACCGGUAAAAUGACGGUCUCCAAAACCGUUUGAUCUAGGUUCGAAUCCUAGGGGUCGUGCCA